GUGGGGAAUAUUGGACAAUGGGCGAAAGCCUGAUCCAGCGACGCCGCGUGGGUGAAGAAGGCCUGCGGGUUGUAAAGCCCUUUCGGUGGGGAAGAAAAGCCUCGACCUAACACGUCGGGGUAUUGACGUAACCCAUUAAAGAAGCACCGGCUAACUCUGUGCCAGCAGCCGCGGUAAUACAGAGGGUGCGAGCGUUAAUCGGAAUUACUGGGCGUAAAGCGCGCGUAGGCGGUUUUGUAAGUCGGGUGUGAAAUCCCCAAGCUUAACUUGGGAACUGCAUUCGAGACUGCAUAGCUAGAGUAUGGGAGAGAGAAGUGGAAUUUCCGGUGUAGCGGUGAAAUGCGUAGAUAUCGGAAGGAACAUCAGUGGCGAAAGCGACUUCUUGGACCAAUACUGACGCUCAAGUGCGAAAGCGUGGGGAGCAAACAGGAUUAGAUACCCUAGUAGUCC
RNAcentral lists this ribosomal RNA (450 nucleotides) under uncultured bacterium. RNAcentral describes it as "bacterial SSU rRNA". It matches the Rfam family "Bacterial small subunit ribosomal RNA", at positions 354 to 796 of the family's 1533-position model. The record is from RNAcentral.